RNAcentral lists this ribosomal RNA (83 nucleotides) under Avibacterium paragallinarum. RNAcentral's name for it is "partial 16S ribosomal RNA". It matches the Rfam family "Bacterial small subunit ribosomal RNA", at positions 1451 to 1533 of the family's 1533-position model. Lineage: Bacteria; Pseudomonadati; Pseudomonadota; Gammaproteobacteria; Pasteurellales; Pasteurellaceae. The record is from RNAcentral. RNAcentral also lists the same sequence under 9 other names.
CGUUUACCACGGUAUGAUUCAUGACUGGGGUGAAGUCGUAACAAGGUAACCGUAGGGGAACCUGCGGUUGGAUCACCUCCUUA